AAAGGCAGAGGCAGAGAGUGGGUAGUUUUGGCGUAUGUUGAGCACUGAAAAUGCCUGGAAUUGCCAAACUGAGCUUUUGUAUGAGCAGCGUAAGGGCUACUCGGUGCACGCAGAGCCGCGGGGCUGCACGGAAUAGCCGGACGGAAAGUGAUUCUGCAUUUCCUUCAGUAGCCUGGAUGUCUUGGCGUUAGUAGCCACGUCACUUUGUUCGUGGACACUCUGAGGAGCAGAUCCCUGCCCUGUGGCACGGGGGGGAUCAGGCUCUGAUAAGGUGCUGGAAUGAUCGUCCUGCUGUUCCUUGAGUGGCUUUCCAGACAUGUGGAGAGAAGCAGACACUUGCAGAGCGGAGCUGGGAAGGAGAGCAGAAAGAGGUGAAAAAUGGCUUUCCUUGCACAGAAAGGACCUGUGGAGCAGCCAAUGCCUGGAUAAGGCUCAUCCUAGUGCCUGGAUAAGGAUGAUCUUAGUGCCUGGAUAAAAAUCAUCUCAGUGCAUGGAUAAGAAUCAUCUCAUAGCCUGGAUAAGGAUCAUCCUAUAGCCUGGAUAAAGAUCAUCCCAGUGCCUGGAUAAGAAUCAUCUCAGUGCAUGGAUAAAAAUCAUCUCAGUGUCUGGAUAAGGAUCAUCUCAUAGCCUGGAUAAGGAUCAUCUCAUAGCCUGGAUAAAGAUCAUCUCAGUGCCUUAGGCUGCCAUGGUCCCAAGCUGUCCUUGAGGCUGAGGUAGUAGAUUGAAUAGUUGUGGAGUCUGGUCCUCCCUCUGAGCUAACUAUACAAUCUACUGUCUUUCCUAAGGAGACAGUCAGGUCUUCAGCUCUGCUCGUCCAUUUCUACACCAGCUGUGGGGCAGGUGGUGCCAGGAAAGCAAAUCCGUGCUGUGACCCGUCUGUUCUGCUCUGUGGAGGUGAGGUAGUAGGUUGUAUAGUUUGGUGGGAGGGAUUUGAUCCCAUUUCAGGUGAUAACUAUACAGUCUAUUGCCUUCCUUAAAGAGCAGCAAAACCACGGAGGAGCUCCCGAGGCAUCGCUUCUUUUGUUGAGGAUCCAAAAAAGCAGCAUGGCAUUGUUAAACAGCUCAGUGGGUGUUUCUCUUACAGCAUCCAGAACUGCAUUCUUCCAGGAAUUGCUUCAUGCCUCAGGCACUGGAGCAUGGAGCCACCUGCUUCCAGGGAACCCACCUCUCUAAGAUUCCAGAGAACCAGGGAAAUGAGUCUGCACAGCAGCUCAGUGUUCAAUUCUAUUCUUUUUUUUUUUUUUUUUUCAGGAGAUGGAUUCAAGUUGUAAGGUGUUUAAAUGUGUUGAUCUUUUCAGGUCUGGAGGGGAGCAGAUACUUUUGUUUAAAUGGGACAGAUGUGAGUUAAUUAUUUCAUGGUUUUGUGCCCAGUUCUGAAGUUUGGGUUCAGAAGCAGACCCAGGGCCAAGCUCAGCCUGUGGACUCAGAGCCCUGGGAGCUGAUCAGAUUUGGCUGCUUGGCCCCUGCUCAGGAAGUGCAUUUGGUUUUGGACCAGUUCCCAGCCUGUCCCAUGGAACAGAGUCAGAGGGUUCUUUCUGCUCUGAUAAUCCCUUAUCAACUGAACUCCCCCACAUGCAAACCCCGUCAGGGAAUUUUGGGGCUCUUGGGUGUUUACAUAAGGUGAACCAAUGAUUCCAACUAAAAUCUUGUCCUGAAGUGGAGACAGGUAAGGAAGAGACAUGAGGCAGAAGGAGCAGGUUCUAAUCCUCCUGGGCUCUCCCUGACAACAGACAUGAGAGAAGUCAUCAUCGCUCAGAGCUCUGGCCCUUGGCAAGGGACAGGGAACUGUUAAUUCUUCUGUUUCUUAGGAGCAGAUGGGACGAUCCCUCUGCCGUUUUCCAGAGUGAGUAGGAUCAGGAGCAGGAGUGGAGCUGUAACCCGAUCAGGGCUGCACCGGGAAGGACAUUUCAGGCCAUUAUCACGAGCAUCUCAGUGCCAGGGAGACUGUGAGACCCGAGACUGGGGAGCGAGGGCAAGCAGAGGACACCUUCUCAGAUGAAAUGGGAGGGAGAGAGCACAGAGAAAUUGGAGCCCUCCCAUUUCAGAGGCUCAGGGAGAGCCAGAGCUGGCUGCUGGAGUCCCCAGGAUGAAGCAGAAUUUCAGGCCCCUCUGCUGGGACAGGGCGGAGCUGCAGCUGCUGGGUGGGGAUGCUGCAGCUCCGAGCAGAGAAGGAAUGCAGCCCUCUCUCCAUAAAUCUGGCUUUUCAGCAGUCCUGGCGACUUGCUGAGCAAAACUACAGCUUGGUGCUCUGAGCUGCAUUAUUAUCCUCCAGCUGCUUGCUCAGGGGCAGGGCUCCUGCCCACAGAUUGCCUGGAAGGUUCCAAAAUAGCAGCACAAGGAUGGGAACAGGGCAGCAAAUCCACUUCAUCUGGAGAGGUGUCCCCUGGAAAACAGCUAAUCCCACAUGUCCCAGAUGGAUUCUGUUCCGUCCCCCUCCAUGGCAUUGAUACUAAUGCAGAGAAUCUCAAACAGUGGAACUGUGUGAGCUGGAAGCCAUGAAUAAAAUAUUACUGGAGAUAUUCCCUCGUGAAAAUAAACUUGGUUUGACUUUUUUAAAA
Molecule: long non-coding RNA, 2558 nt
Organism: Melospiza georgiana
Lineage: Eukaryota; Metazoa; Chordata; Aves; Passeriformes; Passerellidae
Exons: 3
Source: RefSeq, a predicted model, not a curated record